RNAcentral lists this ribosomal RNA (1477 nucleotides) under uncultured Lactococcus sp. RNAcentral's name for it is "bacterial SSU rRNA". It matches the Rfam family "Bacterial small subunit ribosomal RNA". The record is from RNAcentral. Lineage: Bacteria; Bacillati; Bacillota; Bacilli; Lactobacillales; Streptococcaceae.
GGCGGCGUGCCUAAUACAUGCAAGUUGAGCGCUGAAGGUUGGUACUUGUACCAACUGGAUGAGCAGCGAACGGGUGAGUAACGCGUGGGGAAUCUGCCUUUGAGCGGGGGACAACAUUUGGAAACGAAUGCUAAUACCGCAUAAAAACUUUAAACACAAGUUUUAAGUUUGAAAGAUGCAAUUGCAUCACUCAAAGAUGAUCCCGCGUUGUAUUAGCUAGUUGGUGAGGUAAAGGCUCACCAAGGCGAUGAUACAUAGCCGACCUGAGAGGGUGAUCGGCCACAUUGGGACUGAGACACGGCCCAAACUCCUACGGGAGGCAGCAGUAGGGAAUCUUCGGCAAUGGACGAAAGUCUGACCGAGCAACGCCGCGUGAGUGAAGAAGGUUUUCGGAUCGUAAAACUCUGUUGGUAGAAAAAAACGUUGGUGAAAGUGGAAAGCUCAUCAAGUGACGGUAACUACCCAGAAAGGGACGGCUAACUACCUGCCAGCAGCCGCGGUAAUACGUAAGUCCCGAGCGUUGUCCGGAUUUAUUGGGCGUAAAGCGAGCGCAAGUGGUUUAUUAAGUCUGGUGUAAAAAGCAGUGGCUCAACCAUUGUAUGCAUUGGAAACUGGUAGACUUUAGUGCAAGAGAAGAAAAUGGAAUUUCAUGUGUAACCGGUGAAAUGCCUAAAUAUAUUGGAGGAACCACGGUUGGCGAAAGCCGCUCUCCUGGCUGUUACUGGACACUGAGGCUCGAAAGCGUGGGAGCAAACAGGAUUAGAUACCCUGGUAGUCCACGCGUAAACGAUGAGUGCUAGAUGUAGGGAGCUAUAAGUUCUCUGUAUCGCAGCUAACGCAAUAAGCACUCCGCCUGGGGAGUACGACCGCAAGGUUGAAACUCAAAGGAAUUGACGGGGGCCCGCACAAGCGGUGGAGCAUGUGGUUUAAUUCGAAGCAACGCGAAGAACCUUACCAGGUCUUGACAUACUCGUGCUAUUCCUAGAGAUAGGAAGUUCCUUCGGGACACGGGAUACAGGUGGUGCAUGGUUGUCGUCAGCUCGUGUCGUGAGAUGUUGGGUUAAGUCCCGCAACGAGCGCAACCCCUAUUGUUAGUUGCCAUCAUUAAGUUGGGCACUCUAACGAGACUGCCGGUGAUAAACCGGAGGAAGGUGGGGAUGACGUCAAAUCAUCAUGCCCCUUAUGACCUGGGCUACACACGUGCUACAAUGGAUGGUACAACGAGUCGCGAGACAGUGAUGUUUAGCUAAUCUCUUAAAACCAUUCUCAGUUCGGAUUGUAGGCUGCAACUCGCCUACAUGAAGUCGGAAUCGCUAGUAAUCGCGGAUCAGCACGCCGCGGUGAAUACGUUCCCGGGCCUUGUACACACCGCCCGUCACACCACGGGAGUUGGGAGUACCCGAAGUAGGUUGCCUAACCGCAAGGAGGGCGCUUCCUAAGGUAAGACCGAUGACUGGGGUGAAGUCGUAACAAGGUA